AACGAACGCUGGCGGCAUGCCUAACACAUGCAAGUCGAACGAGACCUUCGGGUCUAGUGGCGCACGGGUGCGCAACGCGUGGGAACCUGCCCUUAGGUUCGGAAUAACUCCCCGAAAGGGGUGCUAAUACCGGAUAAUGUCUUCGGACCAAAGAUUUAUCGCCUUUGGAUGGUCCCGCGUUGGAUUAGCUAGUUGGUAGGGUAAAAGCCUACCAAGGCGACGAUCCAUAGCUGGUCUGAGAGGAUGAUCAGCCGCACUGGGACUGAGACACGGCCCAGACUCCUACGGGAGGCAGCAGUGGGGAAUAUUGGACAAUGGGCGAAAGCCUGAUCCAGCAAUGCCGCGUGAGUGAUGAAGGCCUUAGGGUUGUAAAGCUCUUUUACCCGGGAUGAUAAUGACAGUACCGGGAGAAUAAGCUCCGGCUAACUCCGUG
Molecule: ribosomal RNA, 433 nt
Filed under: uncultured bacterium
Lineage: Bacteria
Description: partial 16S ribosomal RNA
Rfam family: Bacterial small subunit ribosomal RNA
Source: RNAcentral